AAUAAUCGAAUAUUUUUAUAUCAUAAGAGAUCAAUCUGAUAACUACACUUGGUUACAUGAAAUAAACUUAGGCCACACUUACCUUUGUUUAAAGAUCCUACGUGCACAUGUGACAAGGAGUGCACGUGCGGCAAAGAAGACGGAUGCAAGUGUACUACGUGCAACAAAAAAGACGAAACUGAGAAAAGUCGGUGUAAGUGUAUAGAAGGAGAACCCUGUAGUUGUACGUCAUGCACGUGUAGUAAGAAAGAAUGAAUCACUUGUAUUUAUUUGGCUGGUUCCUGUUUAAUAAUUUU
Long non-coding RNA from Limulus polyphemus (Atlantic horseshoe crab), 296 nucleotides. RefSeq lists it as uncharacterized. Lineage: Eukaryota; Metazoa; Arthropoda; Merostomata; Xiphosura; Limulidae. The transcript is spliced from 2 exons. The record is from RefSeq and is a predicted model, not a curated record.